AAGACUAUAGACCUGCGGAGUACCUGCGGAAGGAUCAUUAACAACAUGGGGGUUGCUGGCGGACGUUUUGGUUCAUGCGACCGCCCGUCCGCCCGGCUACACCCCAAUUCCGGCGUGCGCGAGGGCGAGGCAGCCUGACAGGCUCGGGCUGCCCCCCCCCGAACGCAUGUUCCCAUCCGUGUCUUUGGAGUACCUGUUCGUUUCCUCGGCGGGCUCGCCCGCCAACGGGGACCAACCCAA
This 240-nucleotide unclassified non-coding RNA is filed under the name soil metagenome. Its description in RNAcentral is "partial contains 5.8S ribosomal RNA, internal transcribed spacer 2, and large subunit ribosomal RNA". The record is from RNAcentral.